Molecule: transfer RNA, 86 nt
Filed under: uncultured Eubacterium sp.
Lineage: Bacteria; Bacillati; Bacillota; Clostridia; Eubacteriales; Eubacteriaceae
Description: tRNA-Leu(aag)
Rfam family: tRNA
About the family: Transfer RNA (tRNA) molecules are approximately 80 nucleotides in length. Their secondary structure includes four short double-helical elements and three loops (D, anti-codon, and T loops).
Source: RNAcentral
UGCGGAAAUGCUGGAAUUGGCAGACAGGCUAGACUAAGGAUCUAGUGUUGGCAACGACGUGAGGGUUCAAGUCCCUUUUUCCGCAU